RNAcentral lists this ribosomal RNA (383 nucleotides) under uncultured eukaryote. RNAcentral describes it as "partial 18S ribosomal RNA". It matches the Rfam family "Eukaryotic small subunit ribosomal RNA", at positions 592 to 976 of the family's 1831-position model. The record is from RNAcentral.
CAAUAGCGUAUAUUAAAGUUGUUGCGGUUAAAAAGCUCGUAGUUGGAUCUCGGCAGGCAGGGGGUGGUUCGCUCUUAGCGCUACUGCCCCAUUUGCCUGUGUGAUUGGCGGGGGUUUCGGGGUGCUCUUCGUUGAGUGACCCGGGGCGCCGUCAGGUUUACUUUGAAAAAAUUAGAGUGCUCAAAGCAGGCUUUUCACGCUUGAAUAUUCGUGCAUGGAAUAAUGGAAUAGGAACUCGUUUCUAUUUUGUUGGUUUUCGGAAAUCGAGUUAAUGAUUAAUAGGGACAAUUGGGGGCAUUAGUAUUCAGACGACAGAGGUGAAAUUCUUGGACCGUCUGAAGACUAACUACUGCGAAAGCAUUUGCCAAGAGUGUUUUCAUUAA